AACGGAGGGAGCAAGCGUUGUACGGAAUUACUGGGCGUAAAGCGCGUGUAGGCGGCUUGGUAAGUCGGGUGUGAAAUCCCGGGGCCCAGCCCCGGAACUGCAUUCGAAACUGCCUCGCUAGAGUCCCGGAGAGGAAGGCGGAAUUCCCGGUGUAGAGGUGAAAUUCGUAGAUAUCGGGAGGAACACCAGCGGCGAAGGCGGCCUUCUGGACGGUGACUGACGCUGAGACGCGAAAGCGUGGGGAGCAAACAGG
This 253-nucleotide ribosomal RNA is filed under the name uncultured bacterium. Its description in RNAcentral is "partial 16S ribosomal RNA". It matches the Rfam family "Bacterial small subunit ribosomal RNA", at positions 524 to 776 of the family's 1533-position model. The record is from RNAcentral.